This 164-nucleotide ribosomal RNA is filed under the name Polylepis tomentella subsp. tomentella. Its description in RNAcentral is "5.8S ribosomal RNA". It matches the Rfam family "5.8S ribosomal RNA". From Rfam's summary of the family: 5.8S ribosomal RNA (5.8S rRNA) is a component of the large subunit of the eukaryotic ribosome. Lineage: Eukaryota; Viridiplantae; Streptophyta; Magnoliopsida; Rosales; Rosaceae. The record is from RNAcentral.
UAAACGACUCUUGGCAACGGAUAUCUCGGCUCUCGAAUCGAUGAAGAACGUAGUGAAAGGCGAUACUUGGUGUGAAUUGCAUAAUCCCGUGAACCAUCGAGUCUUUGAACGCAAGUUGUGCUCGAAGCCGUUAGGCGGAGGGCACGUCUGCCUGAGCGUCACAC